Long non-coding RNA from Sebastes umbrosus (honeycomb rockfish), 524 nucleotides. RefSeq lists it as uncharacterized. NCBI's taxonomy places the organism in Eukaryota, Metazoa, Chordata, Actinopteri, Perciformes, Sebastidae. The record is from RefSeq and is a predicted model, not a curated record. The transcript is spliced from 2 exons.
CAAAAGUACAACUUCUUUGAGUUAAUGCAACAAAACUACAACUUGUUUAUGUUUAGGCAACAAAAUUACAACUUCGUUAGGUUUAGGCAAUAAAACUAAAACUUAUUUAGGUUUAGAAAAAAACUAAUUGGUUUUACAUAGGAUGUGAACUCUGGUCUCCUGGGUGAAAUUCUAUUCUAUUCUAUAUCUACCUUUUUCGGUGAUCUACCAUGUGAAUAGAUGAUAAAACCUACUAGUGGGCGUAGUAGGCCACUAUUGACUCACAUCUAUAGGGCUUAUAGCGACUGAUAACAUCUAUUUAAAAGCCUGAAAACAGUCUAAUUGGCUGGGUUUCAUGCCCCUGGGGGGGGGGGGGGGGGGGGGGUGCAGUACCAUCCAUGUUGAGAAAUGCUACAAUAUUAGGUUAUGUGCUAGUUGUGCUUUGUUUAUUCAGGUGGUAAUUUCUGAUGUAGUCUCUCAGUAAUCAUGAAUCUGGUGAUUAGCAGAUCAAAUAAAUAGUAGAAUUGGGUGAAUUUGUUUGAAAA